CGGACGGGUGAGUAAUGCGUAGGAAUUUACCUCAAAGCGGGGGAUAGCCCGGAGAAAUCCGGAUUAAUACCGCAUGUGCUCUACGGAGGAAAGCGGGCCUCUUCUUGAAAGCUCGCACUUUGAGAUAAGCCUACGUCGGAUUAGCUUGUUGGUAGGGUAAAAGCCUACCAAGGCGACGAUCCGUAGCUGAUUAGAGAGGAUGAUCAGCCACACUGGGACUGAGACACGGCCCAG
This 234-nucleotide ribosomal RNA is filed under the name uncultured bacterium. RNAcentral describes it as "partial 16S ribosomal RNA". It matches the Rfam family "Bacterial small subunit ribosomal RNA", at positions 99 to 334 of the family's 1533-position model. The record is from RNAcentral.